This 484-nucleotide ribosomal RNA is filed under the name uncultured bacterium. RNAcentral's name for it is "partial 16S ribosomal RNA". It matches the Rfam family "Bacterial small subunit ribosomal RNA", at positions 30 to 507 of the family's 1533-position model. The record is from RNAcentral.
AUUGAACGCUGGCGGCAGGCCUAACAAAUGCAAGUCGAGCGGAUGAAGGGAGCUUGCUCCUGGAUUCAGCGGCGGACGGGUGAGUAAUGCCUAGGAAUCUGCCUGGUAGUGGGGGAUAACGUCCGGAAACGGGCGCUAAUACCGCAUACGUCCUGAGGGAGAAAGUGGGGGAUCUUCGGACCUCACGCUAUCAGAUGAGCCUAGGUCGGAUUAGCUAGUUGGUGGGGUAAAGGCCUACCAAGGCGACGAUCCGUAACUGGUCUGAGAGGAUGAUCAGUCACGCUGGAACUGAGACACGGUCCAGACUCCUACGGGAGGCAGCAGUGGGGAAUAUUGGACAAUGGGCGAAAGCCUGAUCCAGCCAUGCCGCGUGUGUGAAGAAGGUCUUCGGAUUGUAAAGCACUUUAAGUUGGGAGGAAGGGCAGUAAGUUAAUACCUUGCUGUUUUGACGUUACCAACAGAAUAAGCACCGGCUAACUUCGUG